GACGAACGCUGGCGGCGUGCUUAACACAUGCAAGUCGAACGGAAAGGCCCUGCUUUUGCGGGGUGCUCGAGUGGCGAACGGGUGAGUAACACGUGAGUAACCUGCCCUUGACUUUGGGAUAACUUCAGGAAACUGGGGCUAAUACCGGAUAGGAGCUCCUGCUGCAUGGUGGGGGUUGGAAAGUUUCGGCGGUUGGGGAUGGACUCGCGGCUUAUCAGCUUGUUGGUGGGGUAGUGGCUUACCAAGGCUUUGACGGGUAGCCGGCCUGAGAGGGUGACCGGCGACAUUGGGACUGAGAUACGGCGCAGACUCCUACGGGAGGCAGCAGUGGGGAAUAUUGCGCAAUGGGCGGAAGCCUGAUGCAGCAACGCCGCGUGCGGGAUGACGGCCUUCGGGUUGUAAACCGCUUUCGCAUGUGACGAAGCGUGAGUGACGGUAAUGGGUAAAGAAGCACCGGCUAACUACGUG
Molecule: ribosomal RNA, 468 nt
Filed under: uncultured bacterium
Lineage: Bacteria
Description: partial 16S ribosomal RNA
Rfam family: Bacterial small subunit ribosomal RNA
Source: RNAcentral